UACGGAGGGGGCUAGCGUUGUUCGGAAUUACUGGGCGUAAAGCGCGCGUAGGCGGAUGAUCAAGUUGGGGGUGAAAGCCCGGGGCUCAACCUCGGAAUUGCCCUCAAAACUGAUUGUCUAGAGUCCGGGAGAGGUGAGUGGAAUUCCUAGUGUAGAGGUGAAAUUCGUAGAUAUUAGGAAGAACACCAGUGGCGAAGGCGGCUCACUGGACCGGUACUGACGCUGAGGUGCGAAAGCGUGGGGAGCAAACAGG
This 253-nucleotide non-coding RNA is filed under the name uncultured bacterium. RNAcentral describes it as "partial 16S ribosomal RNA". It matches the Rfam family "Bacterial small subunit ribosomal RNA", at positions 524 to 776 of the family's 1533-position model. RNAcentral also lists the same sequence under 1 other name. The record is from RNAcentral.